UACGUAGGGAGCAAGCGUUGUCCGGAAUCACUGGGCGUAAAGCGCACGUAGGCGGAUCGCUAAGUCAGGGGUGAAAUCCUGGAGCUCAACUCCAGAACUGCCUUUGAUACUGAAGAUCUUGAGUUCGGGAGAGGUGAGUGGAACUGCGAGUGUAGAGGUGAAAUUCGUAGAUAUUCGCAAGAACACCAGUGGCGAAGGCGGCUCACUGGCCCGAUACUGACGCUGAGGCACGAAAGCGUGGGGAGCAAACAGG
Molecule: ribosomal RNA, 253 nt
Filed under: uncultured bacterium
Lineage: Bacteria
Description: partial 16S ribosomal RNA
Rfam family: Bacterial small subunit ribosomal RNA
Source: RNAcentral